Molecule: ribosomal RNA, 453 nt
Filed under: uncultured Porphyromonadaceae bacterium
Lineage: Bacteria; Pseudomonadati; Bacteroidota; Bacteroidia; Bacteroidales; Porphyromonadaceae
Description: partial 16S ribosomal RNA
Rfam family: Bacterial small subunit ribosomal RNA
Source: RNAcentral
ACGGAAGGCAGCAGUGAGGAAUAUUGGUCAAUGGGCGGAAGCCUGAACCAGCCAAGUCGCGUGAAGGAUGAAGGUAUUAUGUAUUGUAAACUUCUUUAGACGUAGAGAAAUAAGGGGAUCGUGAUCCCUGAUGCUAGUAUACGUAGAAUAAGGAUCGGCUAACUCCGUGCCAGCAGCCGCGGUAAUACGGAGGAUCCGAGCGUUAUCCGGAUUUAUUGGGUUUAAAGGGUGCGCAGGCGGUCUUUUAAGUCAGUGGUUAAAUCGUGGAGCUUAACUCCAUCCCGCCAUUGAUACUGGAGGACUUGAUUGCGGUUGAGGUUGGCGGAAUUCGCCGUGUAGCGGUGAGAUGCAUAGAUAUGGCGAAGAACUCCGAUUGCGUAGGCAGCUGACCAAGCCGUAAAUGACGCUCAUGCACGAAAGUGCGGGGAUCGAACAGGAUUAGAUACCCUGGUA